This 516-nucleotide ribosomal RNA is filed under the name uncultured bacterium. RNAcentral's name for it is "bacterial SSU rRNA". It matches the Rfam family "Bacterial small subunit ribosomal RNA", at positions 55 to 599 of the family's 1533-position model. The record is from RNAcentral.
AUGCAAGUCGAACGAGGUAGCAAUACCUAGUGGCAGACGGGUGAGUAACGCGUGGUCAACCUACCGUUGAGUGGGGGAUAACUAGCCGAAAGGUUAGCUAAUACCGCAUACGUCUCCGAGGGGCAUCCCUUGGCGAUAAAAGGAGCAAUCCGCUCGAUGACGGGACCGCGUCCCAUUAGCUAGAUGGUGGGGUAACGGCCUACCAUGGCUCCGAUGGGUAGCUGGUUUGAGAGAGCGACCAGCCACACUGGGACUGAGAAACGGCCCAGACUCCUACGGGAGGCAGCAGUGAGGAAUUUUCCGCAAUGGGCGAAAGCCUGACGGAGCGACGCCGCGUGUGGGAAGAAGGCCUUCGGGUCGUAAACCACUGUCGAAGGGGAAGAUAAUGACGGUACCCUUGGAGGAAGCCCCGGCUAACUACGUGCCAGCAGCCGCGGUAAGACGUAGGGGGCAAGCGUUAUUCGGAAUCAUUGGGCGUAAAGCGCUCGUANGCGGAUCAGGUAGUCGGUGAAGAAA